GUGUAGUGGCAAGAGGCGUUAUUUACCCAGUCAGACAUAGAGGAGUUAUUUACCCAGUCAGAUAUAGAGGAGUUAUUUACCCAGUCAGAUAUAGAGGAGUUAUUUACCCAGUCAGAUAUAGAGGAGUUACUUACCCAGUCAGAUAUAGAGGAAGGAGUUAUUAACCCAGUCAGAUAUAGAGGAGUUAUUUACCCAGUCAGAUAUAGAGGAGUUAUUCACCCAGUCAGAUAUAGAGGAGUUAUUCACCCAGUCAGAUAUAGAGGAGUUAUUUACCCAGUCAGAUAUAGAGGAAGGAUUUAUUCACCCAGUCAGAUAUAGAGGAGUUAUUUACCCAGUCAGAUAUAGAGGAGUUAUUUACCCAGUCAGAUAUAGAGGAGUUAUUUACCCAGUCAGAUAUAGAGGAGUUAUUUACCCAGUCAGAUAUAGAGGAGUUAUUCACCCAGUCAGAUAUAGAGGAGUUAUUUACCCAGUCAGAUAUAGAGUAGUUAUUUACCCAGUCAGAUAUAGAGGAGUUAUUUACCCAGUCAGAUAUAGAGGAGUUAUUUACCCAGUCAGAUAUAGAGGAGUUAUUCACCCAGUCAGAUAUAGAGGAGUUAUUUACCCAGUCAGAUAUAGAGGAGUUAUUUACCCAGUCAGAUAUAGAGGAGUUAUUAACCCAGUCAGAUAUAGAGGAGUUAUUAACCCAGUCAGAUAUAGAGGAGUUAUUUACCCAGUCAGAUAUAGAGGAGUUAUUUACCCAGUCAGAUAUAGAGGAGUUAUUAACCCAGUCAGAUAUAGAGGAGUUAUUAACCCAGUCAGAU
This 800-nucleotide long non-coding RNA is filed under the name Salmo salar (Atlantic salmon). RNAcentral describes it as "lncRNA (ENSSSAG00000088877.1)". The record is from RNAcentral. Lineage: Eukaryota; Metazoa; Chordata; Actinopteri; Salmoniformes; Salmonidae.